Molecule: ribosomal RNA, 323 nt
Filed under: uncultured bacterium
Lineage: Bacteria
Description: bacterial SSU rRNA
Rfam family: Bacterial small subunit ribosomal RNA
Source: RNAcentral
GACGAACGCUGGCGGCGUGCUUAACACAUGCAAGUCGAGCGGUAAGGCCCUUUCGGGGGUACACGAGCGGCGAACGGGUGAGUAACACGUGGGUGACCUGCCCUCAGCUCUGGGAUAAGCCCGGGAAACUGGGUCUAAUACCGGAUAUGACUCCAUGACGCAUGUUGUGGGGUGGAAAGCCUUGUGCGGCUGAGGAUGGGCCCGCGGCCUAUCAGCUUGUUGGUGGGGUGANGGCCUACCAAGGCGACGACGGGUAGCCGGCCUGAGAGGGCGACCGGCCACACUGGGACUGAGACACGGCCCAGACUCCUACGGGAGGCAAC